GACGAACGCUGGCGGCGUGCUUAACACAUGCAAGUCGAACGGAAAGGCCCCUUUGGGGGUACUCGAGUGGCGAACGGGUGAGUAACACGUGAGUAACCUGCCCUUGACUUCGGGAUAACUUCAGGAAACUAGGGCUAAUACCGGAUAGGGAUCCUUGCUGCAUGGUGGGGGUUGGAACGCUUCGGCGGUUUUGGAUGGACUCGCGGCUUAUCAGCUUGUUGGUGGGGUAGUGGCAUACCAAGGCUUUGACGGGUAGCCGGCCUGGGAGGGCGACCGGCCACAUUGGGACUGGGACACGGCCCAGACUCCGACUGGAAGCAGCAGUGGGGAAGAUUGCUCAAGGGGCGGAAGCCUGAGGCAGCAACGCCCCGUGCGGGAGGACGGCCUUCGGGUUGUAAACCGCUUUCAGCAGGGGCCAAGCUGGUGGUGACGGUACCGGCAGAAGAAGCACCGGCUAACUACGUG
Molecule: ribosomal RNA, 465 nt
Filed under: uncultured bacterium
Lineage: Bacteria
Description: partial 16S ribosomal RNA
Rfam family: Bacterial small subunit ribosomal RNA
Source: RNAcentral